This 382-nucleotide unclassified non-coding RNA is filed under the name uncultured fungus. Its description in RNAcentral is "sequence contains ITS1". The stretch from base 1 to 105 matches the Rfam family "5.8S ribosomal RNA", at positions 50 to 154 of the family's 154-position model. Lineage: Eukaryota; Fungi. The record is from RNAcentral.
CAGCUGCGAUAAUUAGUGUGAACCGCAGAAAUUCUGAGCACUAAGAAUUCGAAUGCACAUUGCGCCAUUGGAGUCACAUCCUUUGGCACGCCUGGCUCAGGGUUGUAAAUGAAGACACCAACGAGACGCCUCGCUCGUUGUGAGGAGAAGCUCGGAUCAUUGGCGCGCACCGCCGCCGAUGUUCGGAUGCUAUUGUGGCGAGUGCCCGCCAGUCGAUCGGGAAAUCCCGGCCCGCUCUGGACAUCCUCUUUGGAAACAAACGAUCGUCUUGCUCGAAGGGUUCCCGUCGACUGGUUUUGCAUACAGUGGCACUCAGCGGAGUCGUGUGAUUGAACACGAUUCUUGCGACCUGAGCUCAGGUGUGAUUACCCGCUGAACUUAA